AUGAACCAAGGUAUGUCCAUAGGUAUGGAUGAAGCAUUCACAAUGUUUUUUGAGGGAUGCUCACCUUAUGGUCCUUUCUGGGACCGCUAUCUUGAGUACUGCAAAGAAAGCUUGGCCAGGCUACAUGAAGUUAUGUUUUUGAGGUAUGAGGAGCUUGUGCCUGAUACACCUAAGGUUAUCAGGAAGCUAGCAAGCUUCCUCAGAGCCCCGUUUACCCAGACGGAAGAUAGCAAUGGAGUGGUGGAGCAAGUUCAUGAUUAA
This 261-nucleotide ribosomal RNA is filed under the name Triticum aestivum (bread wheat). Its description in RNAcentral is "partial small subunit ribosomal RNA". The record is from RNAcentral. Lineage: Eukaryota; Viridiplantae; Streptophyta; Magnoliopsida; Poales; Poaceae.